AUACCUUUGUGGCGAUGGUGUUCCCUAAUUCGGCUUUUGUCGGAUUGGGAUUAAAAGGGAAUCGGGUGAAAAUCCCGGGCAGACCCGCUGCUGUAAGUUGCGUUUGAGCCGCAGGCAUUAUGCCACUGUAGGAGGAUUCUUUGUCUCGUAUGGGAAGGCGCUUGUUUUGGUGAAGCAACGAAGCCAGAAGACCUGCAUCGUCUGUUUCUGCGGC
RNAcentral lists this non-coding RNA (214 nucleotides) under Porphyromonas crevioricanis. Lineage: Bacteria; Pseudomonadati; Bacteroidota; Bacteroidia; Bacteroidales; Porphyromonadaceae. The record is from RNAcentral.